UGUUUCAUUUCAGUCAUUACAACAUUUGGAGAAGUCUUAAAGUUUAAACCUGACACUUGGUUUUAUAGAUUGAUUUAAUCGUCUGAUUGUUUCUUUUCUGUGAAUUUCUCAGUCAUUAUCUGGAGAAUAAUGUCAAUAUUUUGUACAAUCAAGAAACAAUGAAAUAUUCAGUCUGAAAUUCUUUUCCAUAAAACUCAUUUUGUCAAACUGUCUUCCUUUUCUUUGUUACCAGAACCUGUUGUACCAGCCCAACCACCAAAUUCUUGCCCCAACUGCACAGAUUGCAAGUUUAAAAUUUCAAGCUCCAGCAAUCUCUGCAUCUUCAUCACUAUAAUGGGAAGGUAUGACCUCUAUACUCCAAUCUAUACAUGCCACUGUGGAUAUGAGCAUCAACAACUAGGCAAGACCAUGCACAAGUCUGGUUUCUAUUCAUCAUUAGGAAAGAGCAGCACAUUCUACAGCACCAGUCUGCUUGAAUCAUGGCACCAUAUAAAAAGAAAUUGUCCCGGAACAUCAUUUCGGGCAUUAGUCACUGCACUGGAAUCCUUUGGUGCUUCUCGUGGGCGUAUUGGACCCAUUAAUUAUAUAACUUCGAAGAGAGUGUUCUUCGAAUGGCGAUUCCA
This is a non-coding RNA of Procambarus clarkii (red swamp crayfish), 623 nucleotides long. The record is from RefSeq and is a predicted model, not a curated record. Lineage: Eukaryota; Metazoa; Arthropoda; Malacostraca; Decapoda; Cambaridae.